This 320-nucleotide ribosomal RNA is filed under the name uncultured bacterium. Its description in RNAcentral is "bacterial SSU rRNA". It matches the Rfam family "Bacterial small subunit ribosomal RNA", at positions 470 to 789 of the family's 1533-position model. The record is from RNAcentral.
UGACGGUACCACUUGAAUAAGCUCCGGCUAACUACGUGCCAGCAGCCGCGGUAAUACGUAGGGAGCAAGCGUUAUCCGGAUUUACUGGGUGUAAAGGGCGUGUAGGCGGGACUACAAGUCAGAUGUGAAAGCACGGGGCUCAACUCCGUGUCUGCAUUUGAAACUGCAGUUCUUGAGUGCUGGAGAGGCUAACGGAAUUCCUAGUGUAGCGGUGAAAUGUGUAGAUAUUAGGAGGAACACCAGUGGCGAAGGCGGUUAGCUGGACAGUAACUGACGCUGAGGCGCGAAAGCGUGGGUAGCAAACAGGAUUAGAUACCCUG